Thunnus maccoyii (southern bluefin tuna) is the source of this 2110-nucleotide long non-coding RNA. RefSeq lists it as uncharacterized. The transcript has 5 exons. The record is from RefSeq and is a predicted model, not a curated record. NCBI's taxonomy places the organism in Eukaryota, Metazoa, Chordata, Actinopteri, Scombriformes, Scombridae.
UGGGCUCCGGCUGUCACUGCAGCUCAUUGAGGAUAUAAUUACUAUUUACAAGACAUGUCAAUGCAUCCACAAGUACCCCAUAUCUGACACUAAAAAGCUCUACAUUCUUCUGUUUUUGUGGAAGAAAACAGCAGUGUGAAGACGACAUUUAUGAUGAAUAAGCAAGAAAUGGAGUCGCUGCUGGAAAAGAGCCGUGUUUCAUAUACACACUAAAACAUUUGUAUAACAUUAUGACUGCUAUGUGAACUAUACUUUUUAAACAAAUAUCAGUCCCCUUAUUAAACACUUUCGUACAUUUAUUCAGCUCUUUCUUUUACUGAAACCAAACCGUCGAGUGAAGAUGACCUAACAAGCUCGGCUCACUACAAAAACUUGUCGACAUAAACUGUGACCCACCUGCUGGGUCAAAGUGUGUUGGAGAGAAAAAAUCGGACGGCUAGCCGCAGAAAAAAAUGUCAACAAUCCUCUAGCAGCGGAGGAUCGACAGACGCUAUAAAUCGAGCACAGAAACAUCGAUGCAGCAAAGGCAAAUCAAUCGAUUCACUAUUUACAGACUAACUUGCGAAGAAAAAAGUGGAAGAAAAGAACAGGUGGAACUAUGCUGUGACUAAUUAUCUCUGCAGUGCGCAAUUUUGCUAACUGGAUAGGUUCUUCAUGCUGCUCCUCCAAGAAGGCCACGACAGCAGCGGGAUGUCCGUACCAGUGUGAAGGACAGAAGGUGUGGACAAUCUCUAGUGAUGAAACCCCAUCCGGUCAAAAUCCUUCUUAAUUCCUCCCAGAAGAGACACUCACAUUCACUCGCAGCAUGUUGAUCUCUGCUGUGUCUCUCCUCUGUGUUGCUCUGUGCUUGUUAUAAUGAUGACUUGUCUGAAAACUCCUCUUUGGGAAGCUGGAUAAUGUCUGACAGCUGACAGGUGCAGCAGUGGCUUUUUUGGGGGGGGAUGGGGGGACAAAUAUAUUUAUUUGCCCUUGUCUCACCCCAUCUCCCUCUCCCUCUGACAAUAAUCUUCACAAAGUUACUCAAAAAUAAAGUAAAUAAUAACAGUGAUAAUAAAAUAACAUAGACAUUAUUUGGUAAUAAAAAGUAAAGUAAGUAAACAACCUAAUCAAAUAAUAAUAACAAUAACUUUUAAAACACAUAAAUAAAUGUGUCAAAAUUUAUUGCAUGCAUGUAAGAAGCAUAUUACAUGUAAAAUGGUUAUUAAAUCUUAACAUUGAGUUACAAAGCUGGUGCACAAAAGAAGCUUUACAUUAUCCGCUCACAUCUUUCAUACUGACUCAUCAAGGUCUCAGCUAGUUGUUUUCCAAAAAAUGAAGGAAUUUCCCUCAUAUUUAAUAAAUAGUAUGAGGCCUCCCUUUGAUACUAAAGGUUAAUUUCUCUAAGAUAAGACACUGAGAUAAGUUUUUCGACCACUGACUGAUAGAGGGGUUUUCUAGGUUUUUCCCAAAAGACAGAUAUUUGUAUGUUUAGCUUGAAGAACAGAGAAAACAACGAUUGUUUUCUUGGUGUUAUAAAGCCUCGGAGUCACAGAGAACAGAUCAAGAAUACACAGUUUUGGACAUUCUGGUAGUUUGGCUGAAACUAUUUGUGAUAAUGUGUCAAGUACAUCUUUCCAAAAUUCUUUGAUCCCUGGGCAAACCUCAUAAACUGUGAACCAGAGUGUUGUGUUCAGCAUUGCAUUUCACACAUCUGGAUCUGGAUUAUUGGCAUCAGAAUGGUGUAAUAGAGACAGAGUCACUAUUGUAUUUUUUGUAUUUUCUCUCUUCUUCAAGCUGAACAUGAUCUAUUUGUACUGCAGAAGUCUAAAUCUGGUGUUAGUUUGAACCUGGGCUUCAUGGCAUACAUAUCUGCUCCAAAUCAUCUUUUGUUAUCUCUGUUUCCAAGUCACGACUCCAAGCAAGUCUCCUAUUGUCUGACGACUCCUCUGAUUUAGUUUUGAGUAGGUCAUAGAUUAACGACACUCGGCCAACAGAGUGAUGCACUCUCACUUGUGUUAUUGCAGCCUAAUUUGUUCAGCAGCGGCUUACUUCUGUCAUCUGUGUAAUAAAAAUACAAUGUGGUCCCACAGCAUAUUAAUCCAGUGAAUUGAAUAAAUAGUUGUUAAGAUCA